RNAcentral lists this ribosomal RNA (497 nucleotides) under uncultured bacterium. Its description in RNAcentral is "partial 16S ribosomal RNA". It matches the Rfam family "Bacterial small subunit ribosomal RNA", at positions 28 to 507 of the family's 1533-position model. The record is from RNAcentral.
GAUGAACGCUGGCGGCGUGCCUAAUACAUGCAAGUCGAGCGAACGGACGAGAAGCUUGCUUCUUUGAUGUUAGCGGAGGACGGGUGAGUAACACGUGGAUAACCUACCUAUAAGUCUGGGAAAACUUCGGGAAACCGGCGCUUACACCGGAUGAUAUUUUGAACCGUAUGGUUCAAAAGUGAAAGACGGUCUUGCUGUCUCUUAUAGAUGGAUCCGCGCUGCAUUAGCUAGUUGGUACGGUAACGGCUUACCAAGGCAACGAUGCGUAGCCGACUUGAGAGAGUGAUCGGCCACACUGGAGCGGAGACGCGGUCCAGACUCCUACGAGAGGCAGCAGUAUGGAAUCGGCCGCAGUGGGCGAGAGCCUGACGGAGCGGCGCGGCGUGAGAGAUGAAGGUCUUCGGUGCGGAAAACUCUGUUAUUAGGGAAGAACAGAUGUGUAAGGAGCUGUGCACAGCUUGACGGUAACUAAUCAGAAAGCCACGGCUAACUACGUG